Long non-coding RNA from Pipistrellus kuhlii (Kuhl's pipistrelle), 693 nucleotides. RefSeq lists it as uncharacterized. The transcript has 5 exons. Lineage: Eukaryota; Metazoa; Chordata; Mammalia; Chiroptera; Vespertilionidae. The record is from RefSeq and is a predicted model, not a curated record.
CCAGGCUGUGCCUGUCAGGCUCACGGGAAGCAAGAGAAUGGCCCCUGCUCCCGAGCCUCACAACUCAUUUUCUGAUACCCCCUGAGUCUACCUGAACAUCUGCAUUAGGGGUCCAGGCAGCUGACUCCUUUAUAGCGCCUGAGCUUGGCAGGAUGGGGCCACAGGUAGACAGGAGGUUUUUGACUAUUGCAUUCCCCAAGGUUGAUGCCAUAUGGAGAGGAGUAAUUGACCCAAGAAAGAUGAUGUCUGUGGGCACUAUGGGAGAGGGACUCAUCACAAGGACCCUGGUGGUUGUCUCUUGAGCUCUAUCUUGGGAGGCAUACAAUACAGUCCCUCUCACAACUCCAAUCUGCUCCUAGCCACCCUGUCUCUGCUGGAGACAGGGUGAGUGGUUGUGAAUGAGAUGUUGUGUGCUGACACUAUAAGAGGGUGCCUGGGUUUCUAUCAUACUCUUGUCUCUCCCUAGAACACAGGAUCCCUACUGAUUUUCACGGCCAGAUGUGACAUGGGCACCUCUUCCCAGUUCUGGUGCUCUGGGCUGAGGAGCCUAGCACUGUCAAAAAAAUAUGCAUGUAUAGUAAUUAGGACUUCAUUCCUCCAUGUUUUCUUCCCUUAUCUUACUGUUAUUGUCCUGAAAUCUUAUUUUAGAAAAUUGAUAAAGGAAGAGCGUGGGGUGGGGAAAGAGUGUAGAUC